ACUCCUACGGGAGGCAGCAGUGGGGAAUCUUGCGCAAUGGGCGAAAGCCUGACGCAGCAACGCCGCGUGCGGGAUGAAGGCUCUCGGGUCGUAAACCGCUUUCAGCAGGAACGAAAUUGACGGUACCUGCAGAAGAAGCACCGGCUAACUACGUGCCAGCAGCCGCGGUAAU
Molecule: ribosomal RNA, 172 nt
Filed under: uncultured bacterium
Lineage: Bacteria
Description: partial 16S ribosomal RNA
Rfam family: Bacterial small subunit ribosomal RNA
Source: RNAcentral